Molecule: non-coding RNA, 106 nt
Organism: Gossypium raimondii (Peruvian cotton)
Lineage: Eukaryota; Viridiplantae; Streptophyta; Magnoliopsida; Malvales; Malvaceae
Source: Rfam
AUUCCGUGAUGAGGGCAUCUUCGUAAUAGUUCUUAAACCUUUCCCAUGCCUCAUACAAUGACUCGUCAUCUAUUUUUUGGAAGGUAGUGAUCUCAUUCCACAAAUU